RNAcentral lists this ribosomal RNA (440 nucleotides) under uncultured bacterium. RNAcentral describes it as "partial 16S ribosomal RNA". It matches the Rfam family "Bacterial small subunit ribosomal RNA", at positions 338 to 795 of the family's 1533-position model. The record is from RNAcentral.
CCUACGGGAGGCUGCAGUGGGGGAUAUUGCACAAUGGGGGGAACCCUGAUGCAGCGACGCCGCGUGGGGGAAGAAGCGCCUCGGCGCGUAAAGCCCUGUCAGCAGGGAAGAAAAUGACGGUACCUGAAGAAGAAGCACCGGCUAACUACGUGCCAGCAGCCGCGGGAAUACGUAGGGGGCAAGCGUUAUCCGGAUUUACUGGGUGUAAAGGUGGCGCAGACGGCGAUGCAAGCCAGGAGUGAAAGCCCGGGGCCCAACCCCGGGACUGCUCUUGGAACUGCGUGGCUGGAGUGCAGGAGGGGCAGGCGGAAUUCCUGGUGUAGCGGUGAAAUGCGUAGAUAUCAGGAGGAACACCAGUGGCGAAGGCGGCCUGCUUGACUGCAACUGACGUUGAGGCGCGAAAGCGUGGGGAGCAAACAGGAUUAGAUACCCUUGUAGUC